This is a non-coding RNA of Podarcis lilfordi (Lilford's wall lizard), 92 nucleotides long. Lineage: Eukaryota; Metazoa; Chordata; Lepidosauria; Squamata; Lacertidae. The record is from the annotation of a GenBank genome assembly.
GUGUGUGUGUGUGUGUGUGUGUGUGUGUGUGUGUGCGCGUGUGUGCGUGUGUGUGUGUGUGUAUACACACACACACACACAUAUAUAUACAU